GAUGAAGAACGUAGCGAAAUGCGAUAAGUAAUGUGAAUUGCAGAAUUCAGUGAAUCAUCGAAUCUUUGAACGCACAUUGCGCCCUCUGGUAUUCCGGGGGGCAUGCCUGUUCGAGCGUCAUUAUAACCACUCAAGCUCUCGCUUGGUAUUGGGGCUCGCGGUUCCGCGGCCCCUAAAAUCAGUGGCGGUGUCUGUCGGCUCUACGCGUAGUAAUACUCCUCGCGGUUGAGUCCGGUAGGUCUACUUGCCAGCAACCCCCAAUUUUUACAGGUUGAUCUCGGAUCAGGUAGGGAUACCCGCUGAACUUAAGCAUAUCAAUAAGCGGAGGA
Molecule: unclassified non-coding RNA, 329 nt
Filed under: soil metagenome
Description: partial contains 5.8S ribosomal RNA, internal transcribed spacer 2, and large subunit ribosomal RNA
Rfam family: 5.8S ribosomal RNA (bases 1-120)
Source: RNAcentral